UACGGAGGGGGCUAGCGUUGUUCGGAAUUACUGGGCGUAAAGCGCACGUAGGCGGAUCAGUCAGUUAGAGGCGAAAGCCCAGGGCUCAACCCUGGAACUGCCUUUAAUACUGCUGGUCUGGAGUCCGAGAGAGGUGAGUGGAAUUCCGAGUGUAGAGGUGAAAUUCGUAGAUAUUCGGAGGAACACCAGUGGCGAAGGCGGCUCACUGGCUCGGUACUGACGCUGAGGUGCGAAAGCGUGGGGAGCAAACAGG
This 253-nucleotide ribosomal RNA is filed under the name uncultured bacterium. Its description in RNAcentral is "partial 16S ribosomal RNA". It matches the Rfam family "Bacterial small subunit ribosomal RNA", at positions 524 to 776 of the family's 1533-position model. The record is from RNAcentral.